Molecule: ribosomal RNA, 497 nt
Filed under: uncultured bacterium
Lineage: Bacteria
Description: partial 16S ribosomal RNA
Rfam family: Bacterial small subunit ribosomal RNA
Source: RNAcentral
GACGAACGCUGGCGGCGUGCCUAAUACAUGCAAGUAGAACGCUGAAGAGAGGAGCUUGCUCUUCUUGGAUGAGUUGCGAACGGGUGAGUAACGCGUAGGUAACCUGCCUUGUAGCGGGGGAUAACUAUUGGAAACGAUAGCUAAUACCGCAUAACAAUGGAUGACACAUGUCAUUUAUUUGAAAGGGGCAAUUGCUCCACUACAAGAUGGACCUGCGUUGUAUUAGCUAGUAGGUGAGGUAAUGGCUCACCUAGGCGACGAUACAUAGCCGACCUGAGAGGGUGAUCGGCCACACUGGGACUGAGACACGGCCCAGACUCCUACGGGAGGCAGCAGUAGGGAAUCUUCGGCAAUGGGGGCAACCCUGACCGAGCAACGCCGCGUGAGUGAAGAAGGUUUUCGGAUCGUAAAGUUCUGUUGUAAGUCAAGAACGGGUGUGAGAGUGGAAAGUUCACACUGUGACGGUAGCUUACCAGAAAGGGACGGCUAACUACGUG